Molecule: long non-coding RNA, 679 nt
Organism: Panthera uncia (snow leopard)
Lineage: Eukaryota; Metazoa; Chordata; Mammalia; Carnivora; Felidae
Exons: 3
Source: RefSeq, a predicted model, not a curated record
CACAUGAGUAAGACAUGGAAGCUUCUGGAUGCUUCCAGACCCUCCCAUGGCUGCUGAGAUGGACAAAGCUGGAGUAUCACAGCGACGGGGCCUACAAAGGCGGGCGUCCCUCUGCUCCCGGCAGAGUUGCGUCCUCAGCCGCGGAAUCUGGGGGUGCAGGCCCCUCCCAGCAAGUCCGGAAUUUAAAGCAACGCUGUUGUUGACGGCCAGGUUCAAGGGGACAGAAAGCUGACAAGCAGCCUCCAGACGCAAGAUCCGAUUCAAUGGGUGGGGCCUGGGCACCUGCUGCUUUGACAGCCCUGCUUAAGGACACUGGGCAACCGUCCCCAUCACACGCCACAGCCCGGCCUCUCCAUCGGUCACCGGUUUGCCCAGGUCUUCUCUUCUGCGAAACGUUCUCACGCGUUCUCUCUCAAUACCCCGGUCACUGUGAACCAACCACACGUCCGAUCCCGGGCAUGUGAAGAGCAGCACGAUUCACAAAAGGCGGCCAACAACACAGGUGCCCGGCAAGGGGUGACAGAAUGAAGCAGAAUGUGAUGUACCCACACAAUGGAAUGCUGUGCACCCGGAAAAAGGGAGGAGAUUCUGGGGCGCCUGGGGGGCUCAGCCGGUUAAGCGUCGGACUCUCGGUUUCAGCUCAAGUCAUGAUCUCACAGUUUGGGGAGUUCGAGCCCCA